Molecule: ribosomal RNA, 662 nt
Filed under: Escherichia coli
Lineage: Bacteria; Pseudomonadati; Pseudomonadota; Gammaproteobacteria; Enterobacterales; Enterobacteriaceae
Description: partial 23S ribosomal RNA
Rfam family: Bacterial large subunit ribosomal RNA
Source: RNAcentral
UUUUGUAUAAUGGGUCAGCGACUUAUAUUCUGUAGCAAGGUUAACCGAAUAGGGGAGCCGAAGGGAAACCGAGUCUUAACUGGGCGUUAAGUUGCAGGGUAUAGACCCGAAACCCGGUGAUCUAGCCAUGGGCAGGUUGAAGGUUGGGUAACACUAACUGGAGGACCGAACCGACUAAUGUUGAAAAAUUAGCGGAUGACUUGUGGCUGGGGGUGAAAGGCCAAUCAAACCGGGAGAUAGCUGGUUCUCCCCGAAAGCUAUUUAGGUAGCGCCUCGUGAAUUCAUCUCCGGGGGUAGAGCACUGUUUCGGCAAGGGGGUCAUCCCGACUUACCAACCCGAUGCAAACUGCGAAUACCGGAGAAUGUUAUCACGGGAGACACACGGCGGGUGCUAACGUCCGUCGUGAAGAGGGAAACAACCCAGACCGCCAGCUAAGGUCCCAAAGUCAUGGUUAAGUGGGAAACGAUGUGGGAAGGCCCAGACAGCCAGGAUGUUGGCUUAGAAGCAGCCAUCAUUUAAAGAAAGCGUAAUAGCUCACUGGUCGAGUCGGCCUGCGCGGAAGAUGUAACGGGGCUAAACCAUGCACCGAAGCUGCGGCAGCGACACUAUGUGUUGUUGGGUAGGGGAGCGUUCUGUAAGCCUGUGAAGGUGUGCUGUGAGG